RNAcentral lists this transfer RNA (83 nucleotides) under Erysipelotrichaceae bacterium. Its description in RNAcentral is "tRNA-Leu". It matches the Rfam family "tRNA". From Rfam's summary of the family: Transfer RNA (tRNA) molecules are approximately 80 nucleotides in length. Their secondary structure includes four short double-helical elements and three loops (D, anti-codon, and T loops). Lineage: Bacteria; Bacillati; Bacillota; Erysipelotrichia; Erysipelotrichales; Erysipelotrichaceae. The record is from RNAcentral.
CCGGGAUUGGCGGAACUGGUAGACGCACCAGACUUAGAAUCUGGCGGGAGACUGUGUGGGUUCGAGUCCCUCAUCCCGGACCA